AGCAUGGGACUGUGGUUACUGCUACACGUCUUGACAUGGAGAGAACAGGGUUUGGAAGUGUCCAGUCCUUCUCCAUUAAGGCUUGUGACUGUAACCGGCGGUGUGCAGCAAUUCUAGUAACUGCCUAUAUCCAUGGCAUUAAUGACAACUCACCUUUCUGUGAUCGGUACCUCAUUAGCAUUCUACAAAGUUGGAAGAGUGAUUGCCAUUGAUGAAGACCACCCACCAAACUGUGUGACAUACAAAAUAGCCAAUGGAGACACCCAGGUUAUACAAAGAUUCUGGAUUCAUCCUCUCUCUGGAAUGAUCGAACUUACCACACAGCCAGACUAUGAGUCUGUGAAGCAAUAUAACCUCACCGUGGAAGCUGUGGACUGUGACAGAUUUCACUCUCAUACAGCAAUGACUAUGCAAAGAAAAGGUCUGACUAUCAUGUACACAGCUAUAAACACGUACAAAUCCAAAGGCUGGUACAUUCCUUUUAUCUUCACUCUGAUGGCUAUUUUCUUUGCUGGGUUGAUUUCCUGGGUAUGUUUCCUGCUUUGGAAAUAUGGGAACAUUAUGGAAUGCUGUCAGAAAACGACUAAGGAAGUCUCCAAUGCCAAACCCAAGUAUGUGAUUUUUUUUUCUAAGCUUUUGAUAUAAAGAGCUAAAACCAGUUGAGGUUUGGUAAACUUACUCUAAGGGCUUCUGUAUGCUUUUGAAGGACAGAGGAAAGUACUCGGUAUACAAAACUUGAUGGUUCCUUUUUACCAAUGAUCUCAAACCUACUCUAUCCCAGAAACAGUUGGGGAGCUUUCUUUGAAAAACAGCAGCAACG
RNAcentral lists this long non-coding RNA (820 nucleotides) under Macaca fascicularis (crab-eating macaque). RNAcentral's name for it is "lncRNA (ENSMFAG00000065302.1)". The record is from RNAcentral. Lineage: Eukaryota; Metazoa; Chordata; Mammalia; Primates; Cercopithecidae.